RNAcentral lists this long non-coding RNA (2183 nucleotides) under Fragaria vesca (wild strawberry). Its description in RNAcentral is "long non-coding RNA (FVES_LNC001653)". Lineage: Eukaryota; Viridiplantae; Streptophyta; Magnoliopsida; Rosales; Rosaceae. The record is from RNAcentral.
GCUAUAGUAUUUUUUUAAUUUUUUUUUAUAAGGUUUAGCCGACGAAUUAUGCCAUAAUUCGUCGGCUAUAGUUAUUUUUUAAUUUUUUUGAUAAGGUUUAGCCGACGAAAUAUACUAUAUUUCGUCGGCUAUAGUUAUUUUUUUAAAUUUUUUAUAAGGUUUAGCCGACGAAAUAUACUAAAGUUCGUCGGCUAUAGUUAUUUUUUAAUUAUUUAUUACACACUUUAGCCGACGAAUAUCUUAAUUGUUUCGUCGGCUAAAGUCUGGGAAAAAAACCGACGACAUGUUUUUCGUCGGCUAAUUGUGGGACUAUAGCCGACGAAAAAAAAAAUUUCGUCGGCUAAAGUCAUCGCCAACGACCUUUUCCCGACGAAAUCUUAGCCGACGAUGGCUCGUCGGCCAAGAUCUUAGCUGACGAAUUAAGUUAACAGGCCGACAAAACUUUUUCGUCGGCUAAAGUGCUUGUCCUGGUAGUGGGUGGACCCCGUAGGAUUUACUUUAGGUUUCAGGAUGAAAUUCAGGGUGAAAUUCAGGGUGGGUCCUGACAGUUGUCUUCUCAUGUGUUUGAGAUAGUAAAAAGAGUAAGAAAAUACUUUCCCCUUGAACUCCAAACAUAUCGUAUUCCCUUCUAUUUUUUUCUCACAACACAUUAUUUUAUUGUAUUAAUUACAUACUUUUUAACAACUUUCCAGAUGACUUGCGUAGGUUAACAUCGCCGCCUGUUGAACCCCUUGGUUUCACUUGCCAAAAGCACUUUGUAAAGCUCAGAGGUAGGGAUGGAGCCAAGAUUUUUAAAACAAACUAGGCUACAUAUUUAUAUAAGAAAUUUAGGAAAAAUAAUUAUUAAAAAAAAAAAUUUAGAAGAAGAAUUAAUUUUUUUUUUUUUGUUACAAAAAAGUUUAGGUGAGAGCCUACACCACCAUCGCCAGAGCAAAACUGCAGCCUCAACCCUGAAGGACUGACAGUGGACACGUACCUGUCAACCAGCCUCUAGGAAUAAAUUAAAUUUGUACAAUCCAAAUCAAUUCAUUAGAACAAUCAUAAAAAGAAAAUAAAUAAAUAAAAAAUAGUUUAAUCAAAAAAUAUUAAAAUUUGAAUAGUUUAAGAUAGAUUGGAUAAAAGAUUGAGCAAAUCUCAUAAAUUGAGUUAAGAGACAACUUUACAAAUUUACUAUUCUAUAUGAAACUUUUUCACCGUUUGAUUGCAUGGGUUGUACAAACAUAAGCAGAUCAUGUUUAAGAUUAUUAAGCCACUUAAUUAGAACACAUAAAUGUUUCAUGGGCUAUAACACAGAAAGGAUUGCACUAUCCUCUGUCCUUGCUCAGAGGUGUCUUCAUCACCAGCUUGAUAUGCAUAAGAAAGUACAAUAAUUUUUCUAUCUAACUAAUACUAUAAAUCAGAGUAUGUAUACCAAAAUAUAAAUUGUCUAAACAAGGUAAAAUUGUCGAAUUAAGCUAGUUUUGAUGAAGUAUAAAGUGUAUAGACAAAGAGAUAGCAAGAGAAUCAUCCUCUUAUUCAUUGAUAGGAGCCCUUUACAUAGGGAAUUACACAAUACCAAUAUGGUAAGGAUAUGAAUACAUAGAUCUAGUCUAACUACAUAUCCUAUUGGCAUAAGGCCAAGGCACACAUAAAGAAUAUCUAGAAAGAUACAGAAUAUCUUAGAACACUCCCCCUUGUGCCGCGCGCUGAUAUGCCGAUGGUGCUGAUCUGUUGCCUCGUCAAAAACCUAGUCAAGUCACAAAAACCCUGUGGGAGAAAAACUGAACCUAGAUCGUAGGAGAAAAAGAGUACAACGCACCCUUCACAUUUGAUAGUGACAUGUAUGUAUGUGCUAGACUCCCCCUGAAGUUCGCACCUCUCCCUGAUCUUUACAUCCAUCAUAGGGCUCUUCCUGAUUCUUACUAAUCACGGAAAUUUCAACAACUUAGCAUGUCAAUGCUCUUUAACAUGUCUUCAAAUGUGGCAUUAGGCAAUGAUUAACUAAAUCAUGCCGUAUUGUCCUCAAAUGAUCUUUUACACUUAGAUCUUGAGGACAAGGACGCUUGUGAACUCAAAACAUAAGUUCGUGCAGGAAAUUAGAUUUCCGCGCAGCAUGACCUUCAGUUACUAGAACAGUCGUAACUUCCUCUAGGAAAUACAUAUGAACGAACCGUAAAUGGUUUUGGAAACUAGACUCAUUUAGC